RNAcentral lists this ribosomal RNA (272 nucleotides) under uncultured Lactobacillus sp. Its description in RNAcentral is "partial 16S ribosomal RNA". It matches the Rfam family "Bacterial small subunit ribosomal RNA", at positions 72 to 339 of the family's 1533-position model. The record is from RNAcentral. Lineage: Bacteria; Bacillati; Bacillota; Bacilli; Lactobacillales; Lactobacillaceae.
AUUUCAACAAUGAAGCGAGUGGCGAACUGGUGAGUAACACGUGGGAAUCUGCCCAGAAGCAGGGAUAACACGUUGGAAACAGGUGACUAAUACCGUAUAACAACAAAAUCCGCAUGGAUUUUGUUUAGGAAAGGUGGCUUCGGCUAUCACUUCUGGAUGACUCCCGCGGCGUAUUAGCUAGAUGGUGGGGUAACGGCUCACCAUGGCAAUGAUACGUAGCCGACCUGAGAGGGUAAUCGGCCACAUUGGGACUGAGACACGGCCCAAACUCC